Molecule: ribosomal RNA, 253 nt
Filed under: uncultured bacterium
Lineage: Bacteria
Description: partial 16S ribosomal RNA
Rfam family: Bacterial small subunit ribosomal RNA
Source: RNAcentral
UACGAAGGGGGCUAGCGUUGCUCGGAAUCACUGGGCGUAAAGGGCGCGUAGGCGGGAUGGCAAGUCGGUCGUGAAAUCCCUCGGCUCAACUGAGGGGGGUCGGCCGAUACUGCCGUUCUUGAGGGAUGCAGAGGAGACUGGAAUUCCCGGUGUAGCGGUGAAAUGUGUAGAGAUCGGGAGGAACACCGGUGGCGAAGGCGGGUCUCUGGGCAUUUCCUGACGCUGAGGCGCGAAAGCGUGGGGAGCAAAAGGG